AAUAAAGGUUGAUUGCAUAUUGGUAGUCGGCACCCCAUUCUUGUAUUCCCAUCUUUUUUCUCUGCUUAAAAAAUUAUUCCGUUACUGCUAAGAAUCGCUCACUCUCGGCAUCUCGGUUUGCAUAUUUGUUCAAAUUAAAGAGUGAGCUCAGCGCACUAAUUAGCUGGGCUGCUUGCUGCUAAAUUAGCUUAACUUCAAUGGCAGAGGGAGCAAAUGGACGAGUGCAUGAUCUGAACACCAUGCUUAGCUCUUCAGAUCGAGACUUUCUUAUUCGCAACAACGGCCAACAGGUUAAGGUAGAGAGUUUAAAGGGGAAAAAGGUCGGGUUAUACUUCUCAGCAUCAUGGUGUGGCCCGUGUCGACGUUUCACCCCGAAGCUGGUAGAGGUUUACAAUGAACUCCUUCCAAAGGAUGACUUUGAGAUUGUAUUCGUCUCUGCUGAUGAAGACGAUGAGUCUUUUGCUGCCUAUUUCUCUAAGAUGCCCUGGCUAGCCAUUCCCUUCUCGGACUCUGAGACACGUGAUCGCUUGGAUGAAUUAUUCAGUGUCAGGGGAAUUCCACAUCUUGUGAUUAUUGGUGAAAAUGGGAAGGUCUCAACUGAUGAUGGAGUUGAGGUCGUCCAAGGGUGUGGAGCAGAAGGAUAUCCAUUUAGCCCUGAAUGGAUUAAAGAAAUUAAAGAACAGGAAGAGGUGGCGAGGAGGAAUCAGACCUUGAAGACUAUCUUAGUCUCAAGAUCACGUGACUAUGUGGUUGCUAGUGAUGGGAAGAAGGUCUCCGUUGCUGAAUUAGAAGGGAAGACUGUUGGCCUGUACUUCUUCUUAUCGACAUUCGGUGGUCGCAAUGCUUUUACUUCUAAACUACUUGAACUUUAUGAGAAGUUGAAGGCAAAGGGAGAGAAUUUUGAGAUUGUGAUGAUACCCCUUGAUGAUGAUGAAGAAUCAUAUAAGUUAUGGUUUAAAAACAUGCCUUGGCUUUCGCUGCCUGUCAAGGACAAGGGUUGUGAGAAGUUAGUACGGUAUUUUGAGCUGUUUACACUGCCUACUGUGGUCAUCAUUGGGCCAGAUGGAAAAACUCUACAUUCUAAUGUUGCUGAAGCAAUCGAAGAACAUGGCGUCCAAGCUUAUCCUUUCACACCUGAGAAGUUUGCGGAGCUUGAGGAAAUAGAAAAGGCAAAGAGAGAAGCACAAACGCUUGAGUCCAUUCUGGUUUCUGGAGAUCACAAUUUCGUGAUAGGAAAAGAUGGGGUAAAGGUUCCAGUGUCUGAUCUUGUUGGAAAGACUAUACUCCUUUACUUCUCCGCUCACUGGUGCCCUCCUUGUCGUGCUUUUCUGCCGAAGCUUAUUGAAGCAUAUCACGGGAUCAAAGCUAAGAACGGUGCAUUUGAAGUCGUCUUCAUCUCAAGCGACAGGGAUCAAAACUCGUUUGAUGAGUUCUUUUCCAAGAUGCCUUGGCUGGCACUUCCCUUUGGUGAUGGAAGGAAGGAAUCUCUAAGUCGAGUAUUUAAGGUGCUCGGCAUACCUAUGUUAGUUGCCAUUGGGCCUACCGGAAAGACUGUCACAACCGAAGCCAGAGAUCUUAUAACAUAUCAUGGUGCUAAUGCCUAUCCCUUCACGGAGGAGCGACUGAAGGAGAUCGAGGAGGAGUAUGAUGAGAUGGCAAAGGGGUGGCCUGAGAAGGUGAAGCACACAUUACACGAUGAGCAUGAGCUUGUUCUUACUAAGCGUCAAUCUUUCGUGUGUGAUGGAUGUGAUGAGGGGGGACAGGUCUGGUCAUUCUACUGCGGAGAGUGUGACUAUGAUCUCCACCCAAAGUGUGCUCUGGAAGAAGACAUGAUGGAGAUCACAGACGAGGCAGAAACAGAAGUUUCAAAUAAAGACCAGAAAGAAGGAUGGAUUUGCGAUGGAGAUGUGUGCUACAAAACCUAUCCAGACUAUUGCAGAUAUCGAGUUAUCAACCUAAGACUAGAGAUGGCUUUGAACAAGGGUGAAGAAACAGUUUCUCAUGAUAUUACCUCCCUCCUUUCUUCACCGGAGAGAGAUUUUCUUGUGCGAAAUAAUGGUGAUCAGGUAAAAAUCGAGUCUUUGAUUGGAAAGGCAGUCGGAUUAUAUUUCUCAGGUUCAUGGUGUGGCCCUUGUCUACGUUUCACCCCAAAUUUGGUGCAAGUCUAUAAUGAGCUCUCCAGUAAUGCUGAUUUUGAGGUUGUUUUCGUCUCUUCUGAUAGAGACGAGGAAUCAUUCAAUGCUUAUUUCAAAAAAAUGCCAUGGCUUGCUUUUCCUUUUGCUGAGUCGGAGACAAGGCAAAGUCUGAAGGAGUUGUUCAAAGUCAGGGGAAUUCCGCAUCUGGUGAUCCUUGAUGGGAGUGGGAGGGUUUCUACUGAAGAGGGUGUUAGGAUCAUCUAUGACCAUGGUGCUGAUGGCUACCCGUAUACCCCAGAAAAAAUUAAUGAUUUGAAAGAGGAAGAAGAAAGAGCUAGAAGGGAACAAUCUUUAAUGUCUAUCUUGACGCACGAUUCGCGUGACUAUCUUAUUUCAAAUGAUGGAAACAAGAUUCCUGUAUCGGAGCUUGAAGGAAAAACAGUUGGCCUGUAUUUCUCAGUGAGUUCUCACAGAGGAUGCCUUCAUUUCACCGAUAGACUCUUAGAAGUGUAUAAGAAGCUUAGAGAGAAAGGAGAAGCUUUUGAACUUGUGCUUGUGUCUUUAGACGAUGAUGAACAAGAAUUCAAAAAUUGUUAUGAACCCAUGACAUGGUUGGCCUUGCCUUUUAAGGACAAGACCUGUGAUAAACUGGUGAGGCACUUUGAACUUGGAACCCUUCCCACACUAGUUGUAAUCGGUCCAGAUGGCAAGACUCUCCACUCAAAUGUGGUCGAAUCAAUUGAAGAACAUGGUGAUGAGGCCUACCCUUUUACGCCUGAAAAGUUUGCUAAGCUUGCUGAGAUAGAAAAGGCAAAACUUGAAGCACAGACGUUGGAGUCUAUUCUUAUUUCUGCAGAUAAGGACUUUGUCAUCUCUAAAGAUGGAUCAAAGGUUCCAGUUUCUGAACUCGUUGGGAAGAACGUUCUCCUCUAUUUUUCAGCUCACUGGUGUCCUCCAUGCCGUCAUUUUCUACCUCGAUUCAUUGCGGUGUACGAGGAAAUCAAAGCUAAGGAUGAUGCGUUUGAAGUAAUUUUCAUCUCGAGUGAUCAUAAUCAAUCAUCCUUCGAUGAUUUCUUUUCAGGCAUGCCGUGGUUAGCACUUCCAUUUGGUGAUGAGAGAAAGGCGCUUCUGCAACGUAGGUUCAAGAUCAAAGGCAUUCCAGCUGUGGUAGCAAUUGGACCUAAUGGGAGGACAGUAAGUACGCAAGCCAGGCAGCUUAUACAAGCUCAUGGAGCAGAUGCCUACCCGUUCACUGAGGAGCGUGUAAAGCAAUUAGAGGAACAGGCAAAGGGUGGCCUGAGAAACUGAAGCAUGAACUCCAUAUUGAGCAUGAGCUGAUACUUGCUCGCCGUACUGCAUAUGUUUGUGAGGGCUGCCAGGAGAUGGGACAUGGAUGGUCUUACCUAUGCGAUCAAUGCAACUUUGAUCUCCAUCCAAAAUGUUCCUCUGAAGAAAGAAGAAUCAAAGGCUGAUCAAGACAGUCAUCCUGGAGGAGAGCCUGGCAAAGCCAAAGAGCGCUAUGUAUGUGAUCAUUUAGCAUAAUAACUAUUCUGGCGUGUUAAAUGCUGAGACUUGUAUGUAAGCAUUAACUUAUUUGUAAUACCAGUAAAGGCCGAAGCUUGUACUUUUAGCCUUCUAGUCCCAAAGAACUGCAGGACUUAAUCUUCCGUGGAUGGACUGAAUUCUCCAUUAGAAUGAAGUCAGGAAUGCAGGUUUAAGAUGUACCUUUAGGCCAGAUCUAACAGGUACCCAUGCUACUUAUCCCUUUUUUUUUUUUAAACACUUUUUAGUUC
This is a non-coding RNA of Coffea arabica (coffee), 3928 nucleotides long. The record is from RefSeq and is a predicted model, not a curated record. Lineage: Eukaryota; Viridiplantae; Streptophyta; Magnoliopsida; Gentianales; Rubiaceae.